UACGGAGGAUCCGAGCGUUAUCCGGAUUUAUUGGGUUUAAAGGGAGCGUAGGUGGAUUGUUAAGUCAGUUGUGAAAUCCCGCGGCUUAACCGUGGAAGUGCAUAUAAAACUGGGGAGCUGGAGUGCAGGAGAGGUGAGUGGAAUUCCUAGUGUAGCGGUGGAAUGCGUAGAUAUUAGGAAGAACACCGGUGGCGAAGGCGGCUCACUGGACUGUAACUGACGCUGAGGCUCGAAAGCGUGGGGAGCAAACAGG
RNAcentral lists this ribosomal RNA (253 nucleotides) under uncultured Eubacteriales bacterium. Its description in RNAcentral is "uncultured Clostridiales bacterium partial 16S ribosomal RNA". It matches the Rfam family "Bacterial small subunit ribosomal RNA", at positions 524 to 776 of the family's 1533-position model. The record is from RNAcentral. Lineage: Bacteria; Bacillati; Bacillota; Clostridia; Eubacteriales.